UACACUUCCCUCUUGCUUGCUAGAAAUGUGCUGAAUCUCCACAGAGUCUCAGAAGAAGAAAUGUAAUGUCUUAAAUGAGAAUGCUUACAAAUGCCUUGCUGGUCUGACAGUGUGGCAUUAUUUAAUAUGAAUUCAAUGUAGUAUUAAAAAAUACUAUGUUUCAGCACCUGCGGUCUGGAAUAGUGAUUGACAACCAGCAUGGGGCAGGGCAGAGGAGGCAAUCCAGAAGGAAGAACCACAUAACCAAGUGUGAUGGCAGUGCUGGAGAAUAUUUCUAGGACUCGGGAUGAAUGACAGUUCACCAGGAAAUGCUGUACACAGGAAUGUCAUAAGACAACUGCACACAUACAAAGAAAUAAUGGAAUAGAUGACUUCCAUAUUUUGCAGCUAAAACCAAUCACAAAAAUCUCUGCCCUAAAACCAAAAAAACAAACAAAGAAAAAACAAAGUACUUAAUGCCAGAAAGAGCAUGUGAGUUGGGAAGUGAAAACAAGCCUGUGGCAACAAGGGCUGCUGGUGACUAGAAGAUGGUCCAAGUAAAUCCAAAAAUGCAGUAUAAAUAUAUGACGAUUUAAGCUCAUAUUAAGAACUUGCUCCCUGUCAAUUGAACUGCAGGCCUGCAGCUGUAAACCCUGUCACUGCCUAAUGCAGUUGGUUUUCACCUGUAUACACAUUGAUAGUCUUCACACCACCUUUCACCUUCUUUGGAGAGGCUGCCUAAUAAUAUCUGCAAGGCUAUUUUAACUGUAGAAGAGAAUAACAGCAACCUGUUCUUGUUUAUUUUCUUUGCUGUGUACUAGUAGUGGCAAAAUCACUUACUAUACUGUGUACAGUGAAUCAGGAGUAUAAAACUUCCUUAGAAAGAUGCCAAUACUUUAACUGUUUAUAAUGACAAAGAAAAUAGAAAAACAGUAUCAAACUAGCAUGUUUAUGCAACCUCCUGUUUUUAUCCAAGUGUUAAUGCUAUAUUGUGGGCUUUUCCCUAAACCAGAUAACUGUAAGUACUGAUUUCAUUGAUGAGUUUUAAAAGGCAGCAUUCACUGCUACUGAGGGUCUCCUCCUUGCAGCUGUUGCAGUGAUGGCUUAUACUUAAUGAAUUUUUCUCCCUGUUCCCUCUGAAAACUCAACACCUAUAAUUUAACAUUUAAAACACAGCCUCUAUUUAAACAUCUCACAACAACGAAAAUGCAUACGCAUUGAGAGCAUUUUAUUUCUUGUAACAAAAUCAUUAGAUUCAUGCAGCAACAACUGAACUGCUCCAUACACAGUAUAUAGUUAAAACUGCACAACUGAAGCCAAAAUAUGCACAGCUAAAAGGAAUGUUACAGGGGGGCCUCUCUUAGUGAACAAAGCAGGCUCAGUUUGGCUCUUUUUCCCCAGCGCUACCACAUCCGCACAUCGUUAGUUGGAAAAUUCCAGAUAUAUGCUGUAAUUUUUUGUGCUUUUUUUUCCCAGUACACUUGAGGCUUUAGUGUCCAGAUGCCAUUUUCCCCCCCUUAUCUGUCCCUGCUAGUUUGGGUCUUUGCCAGUUGUGGUCAACAAUUAAUACAGCAAAAGAAAAAUACAGUACACUCCCUGGCAACUGGCAGAGGCUCACAGGAAAUACCAAAUAAAAACUUUAUUAUGUAUUGUUUAACUAUUUUGUUUGCCUGUGGGCCACCCUGUUGUUGGUGUAAUUUAGAAAAGCAUGCUCCAUCUGGAUGAUCUGUGCGCAGGCUCAUUGUUCCCAGAAUCUGUCACGCACAAUCACUGCUUCAGCCUGUGGCCCUCUGCAGAAAGAAGCAAAGGCAUGGCAGCCCUCCAGCCUGCAUUCCUUUUCAUUAGACAACUUGUGACCAAAUGUUAGAAUAGAAGAGUAACCUUUUAAUAUUCAUGUAAUUAAUUUACUUUCCCCUUUAAUUAUAAACCUUCACGUGAAAAGAAGAAAAUAAAAAGACUUUCCUUCAUGAUUCUCCUCCCUCCCCCAUCCUUUCUGCUUGUUUUUUUGGGACAUGGAAGGUGCUGGGAGUUUCAUUAUGCAUAGGUACCGGCACCUAUGAAUAUUGGGAAAUUCUCAUGGUCAUAAUACUUGUGUGGGUUUUUACGUAUUAAUUGCUCUGAUACAUUGAAUAUAUUCUGAAUUAUAAUAAAACGGAGAAAUGAAAUUCUUUCCAGCUAUAUGCCCUUGCAGCAUCUGCUUCCUUGUCUUAAUCAGUGGGGCAAUCCAUUGAACACAAAGCCAUUCUUCUAUAUUUGAAAACACAAUAGACAUCUAAUUGAAGCUGCUUUUCAUACUAAGGUCACCUUAUGACUCAAAAUACUGUGUCAUAUGGGAUUUUGGCUGUGCGGGCUUAGGUUUGCCAAUUCUCCUCUUUUCUUAAAAACCAGUGCCGUUUUUUUCAGCUGAGGUUAGACUAAUGCUGAACUUUUUAACAUGAUACAAACAUUUGCCUCCCACAACCCAACAACUACAUUUGCUUGCUAAGGAAAGCAUCUGUUGAUGCCGGCGGUAAGGUUCCCCCAUAAGAGUUAAUUGCAGCACACUGAGCUGGGGCCUAAAUUUCCAUGUUUACAUCUUCAUUGCUGCAGCCCAUUCAAAGGAAUCCCAUUGGAAUAGGUGGUAAUUCAAGUAGAUGAAACUAAGAUAGAAAUUGCGUGUCUUCAAGUCACAGGAUUUAAGUUCUUGUUGUCUGAUUUUGAUUGCAGGUUCAAUAGCUGAUGAGGACAUUAAAAACUCACAGAAUUCACUUGGCAUAUCAAAGGAUGGGGGUCCAAAGGCAGUCAAGUAUCCUAUGGUUUCCAUGGCAACUGAACAAAUGUUACUG
Cygnus atratus (black swan) is the source of this 2804-nucleotide long non-coding RNA. RefSeq lists it as uncharacterized. The transcript has 4 exons. Lineage: Eukaryota; Metazoa; Chordata; Aves; Anseriformes; Anatidae. The record is from RefSeq and is a predicted model, not a curated record.